This is a long non-coding RNA of Sarcophilus harrisii (Tasmanian devil), 687 nucleotides long. RefSeq lists it as uncharacterized. NCBI's taxonomy places the organism in Eukaryota, Metazoa, Chordata, Mammalia, Dasyuromorphia, Dasyuridae. The record is from RefSeq and is a predicted model, not a curated record. The transcript is spliced from 3 exons.
AAAAGUUCUUCCAUGAACCUCCAUUUUGGGGAGGCUCUCAGACCUUCUAAAUUUCCAUGGAAUAUGUACUCAAGAAAAAACUGAUGAAAAGUAACAAACCACUUAUUAUCAGAUUUUGGACAGGCUAUGGAGUUUAUCGAAGGUUGUAACUGAGCAGGCUAUGUCAUGCUGAUUAUGUUGGGGGACUGAUGAGGAGAAGAGAAGAGAAAAUUGAUUUCUGCAUAUAUGGGAGUGAGAAUCUUGGGGUAAACAAAAUGAGAUGUGUAACUGUGUAAAAAGACUAGAGAAUGAAUGUGGCACAUGCAGCAGAAACCGUCUCAACAAUGGAAAAGACAAUCAGAUCUGAGCAAGAGCUUGCAGUGCUUUGGGUUCCAGCUGCAACGAUUCUUUCCUGGAAAAAAAAAAACAGAAUUAUGUCAUUUUGGGUACACUUGAUUGUUCUGCAGGUGAAGAAGUAAUCACAUAUGACUGUCUUCCUCUUUUUUCCAAAGUCAUUUCAGUUCUACAGGCUCAAAGAUCUAAAAGAGAACUUACAGACUACAUAGUUUAACCCUUCUUUGAACAGAUAAUAAAACUGAGGAAGUGACUUCAUCAUAGAAAAUCUGCAACAUCAAGGAGACUUAGAAGCUAUUUAUUCCAACAUUUGUAAGUUAACAGAUGAAGAAAUAAAAGCCAAAUAAGAUUGAG